CCUACGGGAGGCAGCAGUGGGGAAUAUUGCACAAUGGGGGAAACCCUGAUGCAGCGACGCCGCGUGAAGGAAGAAGGAUUUAGGUAUGUAAACUUCUAUCAGCAGGGAAGAAAAUGACGGUACCUGACUAAGAAGCCACGGCUAACUACGUGCCAGCAGCCGCGGUAAUACGUAGGGGGCAAGCGUUAUCCGGAUUUACUGGGUGUAAAGGGAGCGUAGGCGGCGUUGCAAGUCAGAAGUGAAAGCCCGGGGCUCAACUCCGGGACUGCUAUUGAAACUGUGUUGCUAGAUUGCAGGAGAGGUAAGUGGAAUUCCUGGUGUAGCGGUGAAAUGCGUAGAUAUUAGGAGGAACACCAGUGGCGAAGGCGGCUUACUGGACUGUAAAUGACGCUGAGGCUCGAAAGCGUGGGGAGCAAACAGGAUUAGAUACCCUGGUAGUC
This 440-nucleotide ribosomal RNA is filed under the name uncultured bacterium. RNAcentral's name for it is "partial 16S ribosomal RNA". It matches the Rfam family "Bacterial small subunit ribosomal RNA", at positions 338 to 795 of the family's 1533-position model. The record is from RNAcentral.